Molecule: ribosomal RNA, 467 nt
Filed under: uncultured bacterium
Lineage: Bacteria
Description: partial 16S ribosomal RNA
Rfam family: Bacterial small subunit ribosomal RNA
Source: RNAcentral
GACGAACGCUGGCGGCGUGCUUAACACAUGCCAGUCGAACGGAAAGGCCCUGCUUUUGUGGGGUGCUCGAGUGGCGAACGGGUGAGUAACACGUGAGUAACCUGCCCUUGACUUUGGGAUAACUUCAGGAAACUGGGGCUAAUACCGGAUAGGAGCUCCUGCUGCAUGGUGGGGGUUGGAAAGUUUCGGCGGUUGGGGAUGGACUCGCGGCUUAUCAGCUUGUUGGUGGGGUAGUGGCUUACCAAGGCUUUGACGGGUAGCCGGCCUGAGAGGGUGACCGGCCACAUUGGGACUGAGAUACGGCCCAGACUGCUACGGGAGGCAGCAGUGGGGAAUAUUGCACAAUGGGCGGAAGGCUGAUGCAGCAACGCCGCGUGCGGGAUGACGGCCUUCGGGUUGUAAACCGCUUUCGCCUGUGACGAAGCGUGAGUGACGGUAAUGGGUAAAGAAGCACCGGCUAACUACGU